RNAcentral lists this long non-coding RNA (8921 nucleotides) under Homo sapiens (human). RNAcentral describes it as "HSALNT0400339". The record is from RNAcentral. Lineage: Eukaryota; Metazoa; Chordata; Mammalia; Primates; Hominidae.
AGACCAUCUCCCGGCGCGGGUGGAAUUCCCGCGAUCUGUCUCAUUCCCUGCGCCGCCGAGAAAAGUGAGAUCCCGCGAGACUCCCAGGAUGAAGUCUGGCUCUGUUGCCCAAGCUGGAGUGUGUUGGCACCAUCUUGGUUCACUGCAACUUCCACCUCCCAGGCUCCAGUGAUUCUCCUGCCUCAGCCUCAAGGGUAGCUGAGAUUACAGGCUGGAGUGCAGUGGCAUGAUCUCACCUCACUGAGAACCUCCACCUCCAGGGUUCAAGUGAUUCUGCUACCUCAACCUCCCAAAUAGCUGGGACUACAGGGUCUCAUUCUGUCACCCAGGUUGGAGUGCAGUGGCAACAUCAUAGCUCACUGCAGCCUUGAACCCCUGGGCUCAAGUGAUCCUCCUGCUUCAGCCUCCUGAGUAGCUGGGGCUACAGGCACUUUCCCUACAUUUUCAAAGGCCUGCAUCAUCACAUCUGCCACAGCAUUCUCUAUCAUUGAGGCAUUUUCUCAGGAAAUCACCUGUGAAAUAUUUUGCAGCUAACCACCUACCUGUGCCCCACCAGCCAACAUGCUUUACUCCUGCCAGGCAGGUGAGUGGUCCCCAGAUCCCUAUUUUACCACUUGUUUUGUCAGACUGUUCUUGGUAUCAGCUGUGUUGGAGGGAGUUCUCUGCAAAGACCAAUAUGGGACUGCAUAUACAGAGAUUUUAUUUCCAGAUAUGACUGUGAGAGAAUGAUGAGGGGAGCAGUUACUUAGUCUAUUUGAGCUGUUAUAAUAAAAUACCACUGACUAGGAAAUGUAUAAAGAGGACUUUAUUUUCCCAGAGUUCUGGAGGCUGGGAAGUUCAACAUCAAAACAUCAGUAGGUGCAGUUGUCUGUUGAGGGCUCAUGUCUGUUUCCAAGAUGAUGCCUUCAUGCUGCAUCUUUUGGAAGGGAGGAGCAUUGUGUCCUCACAGAGCAGAAAAUAGAAGGGCCACAGGACAAACUCCCUCUAUCAAGCCUUUUCAUAAGGGCACCUGAUCCCAUUCGCAAAGCUCUAUCUUCGUGACUUGACUUAAUCACUUCCCAAAGGUCCCACCUCCUAAUACUUACACUGUUUCAACAGUAAACAGUUUAUGUAGAGUUUCAACAUAAAUUAAGGAGGGGACAAAACAUCCAAACCAAGGAAGGCUGGGAGGGAAGCCAGAGGGAAAGUGCAAGAGGAGGUUUGGUGGAGGUGUCCUAGAUUGUUUGCAGUCCAAGGAGGUUGGGGAGAGUGUAACAGGCCUGCCUUGGUAUCCCUGCUCUGCAGUCACUGGCUAAGAGCAGUCCUUAGAAAGCACAGCCUGGCACAAAUACAACAAGAAUAUGUGCUCAGUAGGAAAGAGACCACAUUUCCCCAAUAGCCCAGGUAAUGCCCUCCCCUCAACUGGCAUCUCUGUUCCCUAAACAUUGACCUCUUUUCUCUGAAUCUCUUGGGGACACAUGGGUUGAAUUCAGGUUCUCUGUAGCCCUCUGGAUUCUGUCUGCCUCUGUUAUAUCUUCACGAACAAGUUAUGCAGCCUCAACUAAAGCUUGUAACAAAGCAAAGUUACUCUCCUGAGUGUGUCCUCUGAUGGAUGGUGAGAUAUAACUUCAAGAUGAAGCCUCACCCACACUCCCUGUACAAAAACGCUUCUCACCUGUGUCACUCUGGAAGCUUUGAUCAGAAAAUUGUAGUUGCUGUUGCCUCUGAUGUGCAAGUCCAAGAUUCUUGGGCCGCAGGACAUGUUCUGCAUAUAUUCCUGGAGAAUAGACCAACAAUGAGACUGAAUCAGUAACGAAAAGUCUUCUAUGAAAGAAAAACCCAGAACCAUAUUGCUUUACUGCUUAAUUCUAAUAAACUCAUAAAGAACAACAAACACCAAUUCUUCUCAAACUAUUCCAAAAAAUUGAAGCAGGGCAGGGAGGAAUUCUUCCUAACUCAUUCUAAAAGGCCAGCAUUAUCCUGAUACCAAAACCAGACAAGGACACAGCAAAAACAGAGAACUACAGGCCAAUAUCCCUGAUGAUGCUAAAUGGAAAAAUCCUCAACAAAAUACUAGCAAAACCAAUGCAACAACACAGAAAAGAUAAUACACCAUGAUCAAAUGAGAUUUAUCCCAAGUAUGCAAUCAUGAUUCAACAUACACAAAUCAAUACUUGUGAUACAUCACAUCAACAGAGUGAAGGACCAAAAGACAUAUGAUCAUCUCAACAGAUACAGAAAAAGAUUUGAUAUGAUUCAAAAUCCCAUUAUGAUAAAAACUUUUUUUUUUUGAGACAGGGUCUCACUCUGUCACCCAGGCUGGAGUGCAGUGGCAUGAUCAUGGCUCACUGCAGCCUCGACCUCCCAGGCUUACACGAUCCUCCCACCUCAACUUUCCAAAUAGCUAGACUACAGGUGCCUGCCUGUAGUCAAGCCAUAGGUGCCAUUGCCUGGCUAAUUUUUAUAUUUUUUGUAGAGAUGGGAUUUCGCCAUGUUGUCCAGGCUGGUCUCAAAUUCUUGAGCUCAAGCAAUCUGCCCAUCUUGCCCUCCCAAAGUGAUGAGAUUAAAGGCAUAAGCCACCGCACCCAGCCUAUGAUAAAAACUUAAAUCAGGUGUACAGGAAACAUAUCUCAACAUAAUAUAGACAAUAUGUUCCAAACCCACAGCAAACAUCUUAGUGAAUGGGGAAAAGAUAAAAGUCUUUCCUCUAAGAACUGGAAGAAGAUUCGAAUGUCUACUUUCACCACUCUUAUUACCAUAGUUCAGGGAGUCCUAGUCAGAACUAUGGUAAGAGAAAAAAAUAAGGCAAGAAAAGGAAAUAAAAGGCAUCCAAGCUGGAAAACUGAAGUCAAAUUGUCUCUUUUUGCAGAUGACAUGAUCGUACCUAUAGAAAACCUAAACACUCUUCGAACUGAUGAAUGAUGUCAAUAAAGUUGCACAAUAUGAAAUCAGAAAAAAAAAUCAGUAGUGUUUCUAUAUGCCAAUAAUAACUAGGUGAAAAAGAAAUCAAGAAAGCAAUCCCAUUUAUAAUUGGUACAAAAAAGUAUAUGAAUAAACAACCCCAAAUUAAAUGUUCUCUAUGAUAAAAACAAUGAAAUAAAUAGACGAGGACACAAACAAAUGAAAAGACAUCUUAUGUUCAUGGAGCAAAAUAAUACUGUUGAGAUGACCAUACUGCCCAAAGCAAUCUACAGAUUCACUGCAAUACCUAUUAAAAUACCAGUGAUAUUCUUUAUAAAAAUAGACAAAAUACUCCUAGAAUUCAUAAGGAACCAAAAAGACCUCCAAUAGGCAAUAGUGAGCAUAAAGUACAAAGUGGGAGGCAUCAUACUACCUCACUUCAAAAUAUAAUACAAAGCUAGUGUCAUCAAAGCAGCAUGGUAUUGGUCUAAAAAUAGACACUGGCCAGGCACAGUGGCUCACACCUGUAAUCCCAGUGCUCUGAGAGACUGUGGCAGGCGGAUUGCUUGAGGCUAGGAGUUCGAGUCCAGCCUGGGCAACACGAUGAGACCCCAUCAUUACAAAAGGUUAAAAAAAAAAUUAGCUGGGCAUGGUGGCACAUGCCUAUAGUCCUAGCUACUUGAGACACGAGGAUCACUUAAGCCCAGGAGUUAGAGGCUGCAGUGAGCUGUGAUGGCACCACUGCACUCCUGCCUGGGUGGACAGAGCAAGACCCUGUCCAUAGAAACAAAAACAAAAAUGAAAUACACAUAGACCAAUAAAAGAGAAUAGAUAAUCUACAAAUAAAUCCAUAUAUUUAUAGCCAACUGAUUUUUGACAAAGGCACUAAAAACAUACCUUAGGGUAAGGACAGAAUCUUCAAUAAAUGGUAUUAGAAAAAGUGAAUUCCAAAAUGAGUAAGAAUGAAGUUAGAUGUUUGUUUCUCAUACUAUACAAAAAUAAACUCAAAAUAGAUUAAAGACUUAAACAUGAGUUCCACAAUUAUAAAACAACUUGAAGAAACACAGGAGAAAUGCUUUAGGACACUGGCCUAAACUAGCCAUAUUUUAUGGCUAAGACUUCAAAAUCACAAGCAACAAAAGCAAAAAUACACACAUGAGACUACAUUAAACUAAAAACUAAAAAGCUUCUGUACAGCAAAGGAAAGUAUCAACAGUGAAGAUACAAAAUGUAGAAUGGGAGGAAAUAUCUGCAAAGUAUUCAUCUUACAAGGGACUAAUAUACAGAAUAUACAAGAAGUCAAAAAACAACAACAAAAAAUCCAACUAAAAAGUGGGAAAAGGAUCUGAAUAGACAUUUCUCAAAAUAAGACAUACAAAUGGGCAACAGGUAUACGAAAAAAUGCUCAUCAUCACCAAUCAUCAGGGAAAUGCAAAUCACACUGAGAGAUCCUCUUACCACAAUUAGGAUGGCUAUUAUCAAAAAGAGAAAAAAUAACAAAUAAUGGCAAAGAUGCAGAAAAAAGGCAAUAAUUAUACACUCUUGGUGUAUAAUUAGUACAGCCAUUAUGGAAAAUGGUAUGGAGGUUCCUUAAAAAACUACAAAUAGAACUACGAUACAAUCCAGCAAUCCCACUACUUCAUAUUUAUCCAAAGAAAAGGAAAUCAGUAUGGCAAAAGGAUACCUGUACCCCCAUGUUAACAUUAUUCACAAUAGUCUAGAUAUGGAAUUAACCUAAAUGUCCAUCAAUGGUUGAAUGGAUAAAGAAAAUGUAGUACAUAUAUAUAAUGGAAUGUUAGUCAACCAUAAAGAAGAAUAAGAAUACUGCUGUCAUUUACAGCAGUAUCAUUAGAAUCAUUAUCAUUAACUAAUGAUAUAAUCAGUAUCAUUAGUUCAUUAUGUUAGGUGAAAUAAGCCAGGCACAGAAAGCCAAAUAUUGCAUAUUGUCACUCAUAUGUGGGAGCAGAGGCUAGGAAAGGGAGAGGGAAGGGAGAACGAAGAGCAGUUGAUUAUGGGUACAAAAAUAUAGUUAGAAGAAAUAAGUGUUUGAUAGCACAGUAGCGUGACUAUAGUUUAACUGUAAUUUAUAUUUCAAAAUAGAAAAAAAUGGAGUAUACAGAGAAAUGAUAAAUAUUUGAGGUUAUGGAUCCUGAUUUGAUCAUUACAUAUGGUAUGCAUAUAUCAAAAUACCACAUCUACUCCAUAAAUAAUGUACAAUUAUUAUGUAUCAACAAAUAAGAAAAUAAUCCCCCCAAAACUAAUACAAAAUAGUAGGCAUCUACAAAGGGGAGAUAUUUAUAUAUAAAUGGAGAAUAAUAAAGAAUUAUCUUUUUUAAUACAUUAAAAUGAAUAUUCAUAUUAAGAAAGGAAAAACUAAAGUGAAAAGAGAAAUAGCAAACUGAUAGAAAGUACUGCUGGUACUAUGACAGUCAAUGUGCUUAUUAUUCAGGAAAAAUACUCCAAAACUUGUCAGAUAUAUGAUUAUAUGACCUUUCCUACAUCAUCUGUAUAAUUUUUAAUUUUUCUGAUCACUCGGAUAAUGACAGUUAAGUUUGCUGAUUCUGUAAAGUUACAGGGUAACUUACAAUGGUGUUAUUUUGGCACUAUCCACAUACAUCCCACCUUCUCAUACCUGCACUGAACCAGCUUUGUCAUCCUGCCAGUAACCUCACUUAUGAGUUAAAUAAAAUCCUAACAUAUGCUCCCAUUACAUUAAACAUUCACACUUUCAGAAGUCAGUGGUAGACAAGAAGCCUUUUAUUUUAAUUCACUGACAGACAAAUCAGCAAGCAAUUGAUAUGGGGGCGAGAGAAGGGAGUUGAUAAUGGGCUGAACAUUAGCAUCCCCCCCAAAUUCAUAUGUUGAUGCCUUAACCCCCAAUGUGAUGGUAUUUGGAGGUGGAGUUGUUGGGAGAUAAACAGGUUUAGUUGAGAUCGUGGGGUGAGCCCAUGAGAGGACACAGUAAGGAGGCGGCAGCCUGUGAGCCAGGAUGGGGACCCUCACAAUGAAGCAAAGGUGCCAGCACCUUCAUCUUGGAAUUCCCAGAUUCUAGAACUGUACGAAAUAAAUGUCUGUUGUUUAAGCCUCCCAGUCUAUGAUAUUUCGUCAUUUCUACGAUACUCAAGAUGACAGAGGAGUCCCUUCCCACCUAUGUAAACUGAGGGAGUGGCCCCGAUCCAAAAGCAGAGACCUUAUGCACGUGAAAACUCAGGCCAGCUCCAAAUUUCUCAGUGGAUGCCCCCACAUUUUUUAUGGGGUGGUGGGAAGCAAGGAAUGGGAAAGAACUCCACAGUCUGUAUGAACCUGCUUUUUUUGCAGACAAUAGGACAAAGUCAACAACAAUAACCAUAAAAAAAAAUCAACCUGCUAAUUUUCUGAUAGAGAGUAUACUGUGUAAUUCCACUUACAUGAAGUUCUAAGAUGGGUGAAAUUAAGGCAUAUUGAACAAAAUCCGAAUAGUGAUUUUCUCUGGUGGACGUGGGGGCAGGAAAUGACUGGAAAAAGGCACAAAAGCACUUCUGGGGUGAGAGUAAUUCUUUUGUGUUGUCAUAGGGGUCCAGAUUACACAAAGUUAUGCAUAUGUCAAAGCUCACUGAAUGUUACACUUAAGAUUUAUGCAUCUUAUAUAAAUCCUAAAAAGAACCACAAAGAAACAUUAUAAUACUACUUAUUGAUAUGCAUGCUGAAGUGUUUAUGCGUAAAGGAUAAUGAUGUCCACAAUAUUAAAGAGCAUCAAAAGGAAGAUGGACUUAUGGAUGGAGAGAGCAAUGCACAGCUGGGUAAGUAAGCGAUAAAGAAUACGGAGCACAAAGCUAAAUGCUGACUGUAGGUGGCAGAUCGACAGGUGUUCAUUCUAUAAGCCUUUCAACUUUUUAGUAUCCACCAAAAUAUAAUUGUUCAACAUUUGCUUCACAAAAAAAUGCUGGAGGAAAGGAAGUAUUAUAGGAUGUAAACUCAAAAUAUAUAUGCCAUGAAAUAAGGAAAGUUAAAUGAGGGUUACAGUCACCAAAAAAAAUCUUAGGAACUAAUAUUAAUAUUAAACGAAAUAGAUUAUAAUACAGUAACUAUUAUUAGGUUUUACAGAUGAAAUAUGAUGACCAGGAUUUGCUUCAAAAUAAUCCAGGAAUGGGAGAUGAGGGUGAAAGUACAGAGGACACAAGAUUCCCUGUGAGCCAAUAAAAUUAUAAUAAUUCUAACCCUGCAUGUAUUUAAUAGUAGGCUAAAAUAUAUAAAGUCCUACAAAACUUAGUAGAUAUGGAACAAUCCACUAUGAAUAUAGAAGAUGUAAAAAUCAUCUUUUCAAGUAUUGGAUAGUUCAAACUGCCCUCCCAAAAAAAACUAUAAAGCCACAGAAGAGUUAAAUAACAACAACAAAAAUCUUUAUAUAUUGGCCAAGCAUGGUGGCUUAUGUCUGUAAUCCCAGCACUUUGGGAGGCUGAGGCAGGAGGAUCACCUGAGGUCAGGAGUUCAAAACCAGCCUGGCCAACAUGGUGAAACCUCUCUCUACUAAAAAUACAAAAAAAAUUAGCCAGGCAUGGUGGUGAGGACAUGUAGUCCCAGCUACUCAAGAGGCUAAGACAGGAGAAUUGCUUGAACCUGGGAGGUGGAGGUUCCAAGGAGCCAAGAUCGCGCCAUUGCACUCCAGCCUGGGCUACAAGAGUGAAACUCCGACUCAAAAAAAAAAAAACUUUAUAUCUUUAAAUCUUUGUAUCUUUAUAAACUUGAUCUAGGAAGGGUUUCUUAAACAAGACAUAAAAGAGACUUCCAAGUACUCGAGGAGAACUGCAGCUGUGUAAGGCUAAAUCUGUCCACACAUUCUCCAAAUAGGAUAUAAAGGUCAAUAGAAACAGAUGACCCCUGAAACUGACACAUAACAAGAUAGAGAAAACUAAAUUUAUCAUUGUCAUAAGCAGAAAACUUAACACCACUUUUCAGCAGUCUCCUGUGGUCCCACUGUGAGGAGUGAGGAAAGCCAGUAAAACAGCAUGAAAAGAGAAGAGAGGAACACAGGGCCUAACUGUGAACUAAAACUGCUCCAAGAGAGAACAAGUCCACCCUAGAGGUAAGAAUCAUCAUCAUCAUCAUCAUCAUCAUCAUCAUCAUCAUCAUGAGUCCUGAUGAACCACUGCGGUGACUACAGGGACUUAAGAGGGUGCACAAUUCUAGACCACAGCCCCACUCAGGCAGUACAUCUGGGGGAAAUGGGGGAAGGAGGAAGGUGAAGUGACCUCUGGCAACAGUAGUACUGCUUAAAACAUUAAACGACAAGGAAAAAAAGCUAUGGGAAUUGAAGAAGGAGAAUAACGGACAGAGGUUUUAAGAAGCUAAAAUAGAACUUAAACAAAUUUACAAGAAAAAAAAAAACCCCAUCAAAAAAUGGGCAAAGGAUAUGAACAGACACUCCUCAAAAGAAGACAUUUAUGCAGCCAACAAACUUAGAAAAAAUGCUCAUCAUCACUGGCCAUCAGAGAAAUGCAAAUCAAAACCACAAUGAGAUACCAUCUCAUACCAGUUAGAAUGGCAAUCAUUAAAAAGGAAACAACAGGUGCUGGAGAGGAUGUGGAGAAAUAGGAACACUUUUACACUGUUGGUGGGACUGUAAACUAGUUCAACCAUUGUGGAAGUCAGUGUGGCGAUUCCUCAGGGAUCUAGAACUAGAAAUACCAUUUGACUCAGCCAUCCCAUUACCAGGUAUAUACCCAAAGGAAUAUAAAUCAUGCUGCUAUAAAGACACAUGCACACGUAUGUUUAUUGCAGCACUAUACACAAUAGCAAAGACUUGGAACCAACCCAAAUGUCCAACAAUGAUAGACUGGAUUAAGAAAAUGUGGCACAUAUACACCAUGGAAUACUAUGCAGCCGUAAAAAAUGAUGGGUUCAUGUCCUUUACAGGGACAUGGAUGAAGUUGGAAACCAUCAUUCUCAGCAAACUAUCUCAAGGACAAAUAACCAAACACCGCAUGUUCUCACUCAUAGAUGGGAAUUGAACAAUGAGAACACAUGGACACAGGAAGGGGAACAUCACACUCUGGGGACUGUUG